RNAcentral lists this unclassified non-coding RNA (177 nucleotides) under Fusarium solani. Its description in RNAcentral is "ITS2". The record is from RNAcentral. Lineage: Eukaryota; Fungi; Ascomycota; Sordariomycetes; Hypocreales; Nectriaceae.
ACAACCCUCAGGCCCCCGGGCCUGGCGUUGGGGAUCGGCGAGGCGCCCCCUGCGGGCACACGCCGUCCCCCAAAUACAGUGGCGGUCCCGCCGCAGCUUCCAUUGCGUAGUAGCUAACACCUCGCAACUGGAGAGCGGCGCGGCCACGCCGUAAAACCCCCAACUUCUGAAUGUUGA